This 1217-nucleotide ribosomal RNA is filed under the name metagenome. Its description in RNAcentral is "bacterial SSU rRNA". It matches the Rfam family "Bacterial small subunit ribosomal RNA", at positions 298 to 1498 of the family's 1533-position model. The record is from RNAcentral.
GGAUGGUCAGCCACACUGGGACUGAGACACUGCCCAGACUCCUACGGGAGGCUGCAGUCGAGAAUCGUUGAAAUGCGCGAAAGCGUGAUCACGCGACGCUGCGUGGAGGAUGAAGGCCUUCGGGUCGUAAACUCUUGUCAUUCGGGAAAGAUGGUCCCGGCAGAAAUAUGGUCGGGGUCUUGAUGGUACCGAAAGAGGAAGCCACGGCUAACUCUGUGCCAGCAGCCGCGGUAAUACAGAGGUGGCGAGCGUUGUUCGGAUUUACUGGGCGUAAAGGGUGCGUAGGUGGUUUCGUAUGUCGGAUGUGAAAACCCAUGGCUCAACUAUGGAAUUGCAUCUGAAACUGCGGGACUAGAGUGCAGGAGGGGAGAGUGGAAUUCUUGGUGUAGCGGUGAAAUGCGUUGAUAUCAAGAAGAACACCGGUGGCGGAGGCGGCUCUCUGGAAUGUUACUGACACUGAGGCACGAAAGCUGGGGGAGCAAACAGGAUUAGAUACCCUGGUAGUCCCAGCCGUAAACGGUGUGCACUUGGUGUGGGGGGAAUUGACCCCCCCCGUGCCGGAGUUAACGCGUUAAGUGCACCGCCUGGGGAGUACGGCCGCAAGGCUAAAACUCAAAGAAAUUGACGGGGGCCCGCACAAGCGGAGGAGCAUGUGGCUUAAUUCGAUGCAACGCGAAGAACCUUACCAGGGCUUGACAUGCAGCUGCUACUCCAUCGAAAGGUGGAUUCCUUCGAGGGUGCUGCACAGGUGCUGCAUGGCUGUCGUCAGUUCGUGCCGUGAGGUGUUGGGUUAAGUCCCGCAACGAACGCAACCCUUGUGUUUAGUUGCCACCGCAGGUGAUGAGCCUGCGAGCACUCUAGACAGACUGCCCGUACAAGCGGGAGGAAGGUGGGGAUGACGUCAAGUCAGUAUGGCCCUUACGUCCUGGGCUGCACACGUGCUACAAUGGUCGGUACAGAGGGAUGCAAUACCGCAAGGUGGAGCAAAUCCCAAACGCCGGCCUCAGUUCGGAUUGGAGUCUGCAACUCGACUCCAUGAAGUUGGAUUCGCUAGUAACGGCGUAUCAGCUACGACGCCGUGAAUACGUUCCCGGGCCUUGUACACACCGCCCGUCACAUCAUGAAAGCCGUCUGCACCCGAAGUCGCUGAGCGAACCCGCAAGGGACGCAGGCGCCGAAGGUGUGGGUGGUGAUUGGGAUGAAGUCGGAACAAGGUA